CUACGGGAGGCAGCAGUGGGGAAUAUUGCGCAAUGGGGGAAACCCUGACGCAGCAACGCCGCGUGAAGGAUGAAGGUUUUCGGAUCGUAAACUUCUUUGAUGAGGGACGAAUAAUGACGGUACCUCAAAAACAAGCCACGGCUAACUACGUGCCAGCAGCCGCGGUAAUACGUAGGUGGCAAGCGUUGUCCGGAUUUACUGGGUGUAAAGGGCGUGUAGGCGGGAAGGUAAGUCAGAUGUGAAAUUCCAGGGCUCAACUCUGGCGCUGCAUCUGAAACUAUCUUUCUUGAGUGAUGGAGAGGAAAGUGGAAUUCCUAGUGUAGCGGUGAAAUGCGUAGAUAUUAGGAGGAACACCAGUGGCGAAGGCGACUUUCUGGACAUUAACUGACGCUGAGGCGCGAAAGCGUGGGGAGCAAACAGGAUUAGAAACCCUUGUAGUCCA
RNAcentral lists this ribosomal RNA (442 nucleotides) under uncultured bacterium. Its description in RNAcentral is "bacterial SSU rRNA". It matches the Rfam family "Bacterial small subunit ribosomal RNA", at positions 339 to 797 of the family's 1533-position model. The record is from RNAcentral.